CACCCCAUAUAUCACCCCAUAGCGCCCCAUAGCACCCUAUAGCGCCCCAUAGCGCCCCAUAGUUCCUCAUAGCGCGCCAUAGCACCCUAUAGCACCCCACAGCACCCUAUAGCACCCCAUAUAUCACCCCAUAGCACCCUAUAGGACCCCCCAGCACCCCAUAGCGCCCCAUAACACCCCAUAGACCCUCAUAACACCCCAUAUAUCACCCCAUAGUGCCCCAUAGCACCCUAUAGCACCCCAUAGCGCCCCAUAGCUCCUCAUAACACCCCAUAUAUCACCCCAUAGCACCCUAUAGCGCCCCAUAGCGCCCCAUAGCUCCUCAUAGCACCCCAUUGCGCCCUAUAGCACCCCAUAGCACCCCAUAGUUCCCCAUAGCUCCUCAUAGCGCCCCAUAUAUCACCCCAUAGCACCCUAUAGGACCCCCCAGCACCCCAUAGCGCCCCAUAGCACCCCAUAGCCCCUCAUAACACCCCAUAUAUCACCCCAUAGUGCCCCAUAGCACCCUAUAGCUCCCCAUAGCGCCCCAUAGCUCCUCAUAGCACCUCAUAUAUCACCCCAUAGCGCCCCAUAGCACCCUAUAGGACCCCCCAGCACCCCAUAUCACCCCAUAUAUCACCCCAUAACACCCUAUAGGACCCCCCAGUACCCCAUAGUGCCCCAUAGCACCCUGUAGGACCCCUCCCAGCACCCCAUGGCGCCCCAUAGCGCCCCAUAGCACCCCAUAGCACCCCAUAUAUCACCCCUUAGCACCAUACAGGCCCCCCCAGAACCCCAUAUAUCACCCCAUAGCACCCUAUAGGACCCCUCCCAGCACCCCAUGGCGCCCCAUAGUGCCCCAUAGCGCCCCAUAACGCCCCAUAGUGCCCCAUAGCGCCCUAUAUAUCACCCCAUAACACCUUAUAGGACCCCUCCCAGCACCCCAUAGCGCCGCGUAGCGCCCCAUAGGACCCCAUAUAUCACCCCUUAGCACCCUAUAGGACCCCCCAGUACCCCACAGCGCCCCAUAGCGCCGUGUGUCUGCCCCACAGCGGAGCCCACGGACGUGCUGCGGGCGGUGGGUGCUCACGAGCGCCCCCCGGGGGUGACGGAGACCCCCGGCCUCUGCCCCAAAAGCGACAGCGCCUACAGCAUCGCCCCACACGCGCGGCUCAGCGUCCCCACCAGGCAGCUCCUGCGCGGGCCGCUGCGCUCGGGCUUUGCGCUGUCUGCGCUGCUGCGCCUGGAGCCCGGGGCCUCGCUGCCGCUUUUGUCGGUGCGCGACGGCGCCGUGGGGCGGCACUUGGGGGUCCGCGUCGGCCCCACGGCGCUGACGCUUUUCUAUGGGGCGGACGGGGACGACGACGACGACGGGGACGGGGACGGUGCGAGCCCCACGGCGCGGCACCGCGUGCGCUUCGACGACGUCCGCAUCGCUGACGGACGGUACGAGCCCGCCCCAUAGCGCCCGCCCCAUAGCGCCCGCCCCAUAGCACCCCAUAGGGACCUGUAGGGACCCAUAGCGCCCCAUAGAGGCCCAUAGAGCCCCAUGGAGACACAUAGAGACCCAUAGAGACCCAUAGCACCCCAUAGCGCCCCAUAGAGGCCCAUAGAACCCCAUGGAGACACAUAGAGACCCAUAGAGGCCCAUAGCACCCCAUAGCGCCCCAUAGCGCCCCAUAGAACCCCAUAGAGGCCCAUAGCGCCCCAUAGAACCCCAUGGAGACCCAUAGAGCCCCAUAGCACCCCAUGGAGACCCAUGGAGACCCAUAGCGCCCCAUAGANAGCCCCAUAGCACCCCAUGGAGACCCAUGGAGACCCAUAGCGCCCCAUAGACACCCAUAGAGCCCCGUAGAACCCCAUGGAGACCCAUAGAGACCCAUAGAGACCCAUAGCGCCCCAUAGCAUCCCAUAGAACCCCAUGGAGACCCAUAGAGCCCCAUGGAACCCCAUGGAGACCCAUGGAGACUCAUAGAGCCCCAUAGUGCCCCAUAGAACCCCAUAGCGCCCCAUAGCACCCCAUAGGGACCCGUAGAGCCCCAUAGAGAUCCAUAGCACCCCAUAGAGCCCCAUAGUGGCCCAUAGGGACCCAUAGGGACCCAUAGUGCCCUAUAGCACCCCAUAGAGACCCAUGGAGACCUAUAGAGCCCCAUAGAACCCCAUGGAGCCCCAUAGAGGCCCAUGGAACCCCAUGGAGACCCAUAGAGACCCAUAGAGCCCCAUAGCGCCCCAUAGAACCCCAUGGAGACUCAUAGAAACCCAUAGAGCCCCAUAGAACCCCAUAGAGAUCCAUAGCACCCCAUAGAGCCCCAUAGCACCCCAUAGGGACCCAUAGAGACCCAUAGAGAUCCAUAGCACCCCAUAGAGCCCCAUAGUGGCCCAUAGGGACCCAUAGGGACCCACAGUGCCCCAUGGAGACCCAUAGAGACCCAUAAAACCGCAUAGAGACCCAUAGACGCCCCAUA
Molecule: long non-coding RNA, 2444 nt
Organism: Numida meleagris (helmeted guineafowl)
Lineage: Eukaryota; Metazoa; Chordata; Aves; Galliformes; Numididae
Source: Ensembl